RNAcentral lists this ribosomal RNA (1244 nucleotides) under Lucanus cervus. RNAcentral's name for it is "16S ribosomal RNA". The stretch from base 829 to 1176 matches the Rfam family "Archaeal large subunit ribosomal RNA", at positions 2151 to 2715 of the family's 2987-position model. The record is from RNAcentral. Lineage: Eukaryota; Metazoa; Arthropoda; Insecta; Coleoptera; Lucanidae.
UUAUAAAAUUAGUUAUUUAUUAAUUUUGGGAGAAAGAAUUUUUUGUUUAUGUAAUUUUUGACAUAAUAUUUAUAAUUAUAGAUGAUUAGCACAGUGAUGGAAAGUUUUUAAAUAAGAAAAAGAAUUUUUUGUUUAAAGUACCUUUUGUAUCAGGGUUUAUUAAAACUAGUUUUAGAGGAAAUUUUCUCGAAUUUUGGAGGGCUAAAAAUUAAUAUAUUUUAAUGUAGAAAAAUUAUUUAUAAUUAAUUUUUUGUAAUUAGACGUUAGUCGUUCUUUAAAAUAUCUAGUUUUCUAAGAAAUUAAUUUAAUUAACUAGGGUAAAAUGAUUUUUAUUGGGAAGUAAAGCUUUUAUGCUUGGAAUAUUUAGGGGGAAAAGCUCUUAAAUAGAAUUUUUAUAAUGUGGUUAGUUUAUUAUGAUGUAUAGGAUUAGAAGUUUCCAUUUUUAGUGUGUUUUUACUAGGUUUUAUAAAAAAUUAAUUUUUGUUAUUUUAGAUUUUUUAUUAGAAUAAAGUCUUGAAUGUCUUAGACUUGUAAUUAUGAUGAAAUUAGUAGAAUAAAAUGUAUUGAAAUAGUUAAAGGUAAAAUAUUAUUUUAAGGAAUUAGGCAAAUUACUUUUCGCCUGUUUAAUAAAAACAUGGCUUUUUGAUGAUAAUAUAAAGUCAGGCCUGCCCAAUGAUAAUUUAAAUGGCUGCGGUAUUCUGACCGUGCAAAGGUAGCAUAAUCAUUAGUUUUUUAAUUGAAAGCUGGAAUGAAGGGUUUAACGAGAAAGAAGCUGUCUUAAUUUAAUUAUUUGAAUUUUAUAUUUGAGUGAGAAAGCUUAAAUGAGUCUGAGGGACGAGAAGACCCUAUAGAAUUUAAUAGUUGUGUUAUUUUAGGUAUUUAGUUUUAGAGAAAUAAAGUAUUCAUGAAUUAAUUUGUUGGGGUGAUGGAAAAAUUUAAAUAACUUUUUCUAGUAUUUUUCAUUAAUGGAUGAUUGUUGGAUCCUCUAAAAGUGAUUGUAAGAAUAAAUUACCUUAGGGAUAACAGCGUAAUUAAUCUGGAGAGCUCAAAUCGAUAGAUUAGUUUGCGACCUCGAUGCGGCUGGUGAAGGGACUAGAAAGCUGAGUCUGUUCGACUUUUAAAAUUUUACAUGAUCUGAGUUUAAACCGGCGUGAGCCAGGUUGGUUUCUAUCUUCAAAUAAAUAAAAUUUUUUAGUACGAAAGGACCAGAAAUUUUCUAUAUUAGAUUAUUGAUGAUUAAAAUU